GACGAACGCUGGCGGCGUGCUUAACACAUGCAAGUCGAACGGAAAGGCCCUGCUCUUGUGGGGCGCUCGAGUGGCGAACGGGUGAGUAACACGUGAGUAACCUGCCCUUGACUUUGGGAUAACUUCAGGAAACUGGGGCUAAUACCGGAUAGGAGCUCCUGCUGCAUGGGGGGGGUUGGAAAGUUUCGGCGGUUGGGGCUGGACUCGCGGCUUACCAGCUUGUUGGUGGGGUAGUGGCUUACCAAGGCUUUGACGGGUAGCCGGCCUGAGAGGGUGACCGGCCACAUUGGGACAGGGAUACGGCCCAGACGCCUACGGGGGGCAGCAGUGGGGAAUAUUGCACACAGGGCGGAAGCCGGAUGCAGCAACGCCGCGUGCGGGAUGACGGCCUUCGGGUUGUAAACCGCUUUCGCCUGUGACGAAGCGUGAGUGACGGUAAUGGGGAAAGAAGCACCGGCUAACUACGU
Molecule: ribosomal RNA, 467 nt
Filed under: uncultured bacterium
Lineage: Bacteria
Description: partial 16S ribosomal RNA
Rfam family: Bacterial small subunit ribosomal RNA
Source: RNAcentral